Molecule: ribosomal RNA, 34 nt
Filed under: Ganoderma lucidum
Lineage: Eukaryota; Fungi; Basidiomycota; Agaricomycetes; Polyporales; Polyporaceae
Also listed under: 11 other names
Description: partial 28S ribosomal RNA
Source: RNAcentral
GGUAGGACUACCCGCUGAACUUAAGCAUAUCAAU